UUGUGGUAAGGAGUGAAAUACAAAUCGGACUAGGAUAUAGCUGGUUUUCUGCGAAAUCUAUUUUGGUAGAUGACUUGUUAUUAUUUGUAGUGGGUAUAGGCAGCUGAAUAUCUAACUUAUGUUAGAAGGGAGUAUGAAGGUACUUACUUUGGAUAUUUAAUCUGAGAAUAGCUAUUAAUAUAUGAUGAGUUAUCAGACUUCUUGCGAUAAGGUGAGGAGUCGAGAGGGAAACAGCCCAGAAUAAUAUAUAAAGUUCCAAAAUUGUUAUUGAGUGAAUUAAAAGAAGUUUUCUUUCGUAGACAGUCAAGAAG
RNAcentral lists this ribosomal RNA (311 nucleotides) under Pneumocystis carinii. Its description in RNAcentral is "LSU rRNA". It matches the Rfam family "Bacterial large subunit ribosomal RNA", at positions 809 to 1100 of the family's 2925-position model. The record is from RNAcentral. Lineage: Eukaryota; Fungi; Ascomycota; Pneumocystomycetes; Pneumocystales; Pneumocystaceae.